This 396-nucleotide ribosomal RNA is filed under the name uncultured bacterium. RNAcentral describes it as "partial 16S ribosomal RNA". It matches the Rfam family "Bacterial small subunit ribosomal RNA", at positions 523 to 918 of the family's 1533-position model. The record is from RNAcentral.
AUACGUAGGUGGCAAGCGUUGUCCGGAUUUACUGGGUGUAAAGGGAGCGCAGGCGGGCGUGCAAGUCAGCUGUGAAAUCCAUGGGCUUAACCCGUGGGCUGCAGUUGAAACUGUAUGUCUUGAGUGAAGUAGAGGUAGGCGGAAUUCCGAGUGUAGCGGUAAAAUGCGUAGAUAUUCGGAGGAACACCGGUGGCGAAGGCGGCCUACUGGGCUUUAACUGACGCUGAGGCUCGAAAGUGUGGGGAGCAAACAGGAUUAGAUACCCUGGUAGUCCACACUGUAAACGAUGAUUGCUAGGUGUGGGGGGUCUGACCCCUUCUGUGCCGCAGUUAACACAAUAAGUAUUCCGCCUGGGGAGUACGGCCGCAAGGUUGAAACUUAAAUGAAUUGGCGGGG